This 573-nucleotide ribosomal RNA is filed under the name uncultured Pseudomonadota bacterium. RNAcentral's name for it is "bacterial SSU rRNA". It matches the Rfam family "Bacterial small subunit ribosomal RNA", at positions 8 to 522 of the family's 1533-position model. Lineage: Bacteria; Pseudomonadati; Pseudomonadota. The record is from RNAcentral.
AGAGUUUGAUCAUGGCUCAGAGCGAACGCUGGCGGCAGGCCUAACACAUGCAAGUCGAGCGCCCCUCCUUCAAGCGAGCUUGGAGGAUUGCGGAGCGGUCUCCUUGGGCGGGCGAAAGCUCGCUUGACGGACAUCGCUGUGAGAUCAAGCGAGCCUUUAGGGGCUCGCUUGAUGGAGGGGAGCGGCAGACGGGAGAGUAACACGUGGGAACGUACCCUUUGGUUCGGAACAACCCAGGGAAACUUGGGCUAAUACCGAAUAAGCCCUUACGGGGAAAGAUUUAUCGCCGAAGGAUCGGCCCGCGUCUGAUUAGCUAGUUGGUGAGGUAACGGCUCACCAAGGCGACGAUCAGUAGCUGGUCUGAGAGGAUGAUCAGCCUCACUGGGACUGAGACACGGCCCAGACUCCUACGGGAGGCAGCAGUGGGGAAUAUUGGACAAUGGGCGCAAGCCUGAUCCAGCCAUGCCGCGUGGGUGAUGAAGGCCCUAGGGUUGUAAAGCCCUUUCGGCGGGGAAGAUAAUGACGGUACCCGCAGAAGAAGCCCCGGCUAACUUCGUGCCAGCAGCCGCGGUA